This 404-nucleotide ribosomal RNA is filed under the name uncultured eukaryote. RNAcentral's name for it is "SSU rRNA". It matches the Rfam family "Eukaryotic small subunit ribosomal RNA", at positions 567 to 990 of the family's 1831-position model. The record is from RNAcentral.
CCAGCAGCUGCGGUAAUUCCAGCUCCAAUAGCGUAUAUUAAAGUUGUUGCAGUUAAAAAGCUCGUAGUUGGACCUUGGGGUGUGUGUGCUGGUCCGCCGAAAGGCGAGCACUGGUGCGUGCAUUCUUUCUGCCCGAGGGUCGGUCGUAAGACCGGAACUUGGGAGGUUUACUGUGAAAAAAUUAGAGUGUUCAAAGCAGGCGUUUCGCUUGAAUACAUUAGCAUGGAAUAAUAGAAUAGGACUUUGGUUCUAUUUUGUUGGUUUCUAGGACCAAAGUAAUGAUUAAUAGGGAUAGUUGGGGGCAUUAGUAUUUAAUUGUCAGAGGUGAAAUUCUUGGAUUUAUGAAAGACUAACUUCUGCGAAAGCAUUUGCCAAGGAUGUUUUCAUUAAUCAAGAACGAAAGU